GACGGGUGAUCCCUCUUCUUGCAGGCUCUGUACAACAACUAUUCACAGAGCCUGGACAUCCUGCUCAGGGGCCUUCUGACAGAGACCCCCACCGUGGAGAAGCUGCAGCACCUCCUGGAGCACGUCCAUCCCUCUCUCCUGUCAAACAACACCCAGGAGAGAGCCAGGGCCGUACAGACCAGCGCGGCCCUGCUCCAGUUUGCCACCUCCCUGCCUGGAUUUGACACCUCCUCCACCUUCUCCAAGGCAGGUGAAUUCGUGCUGCAGCUGGGUCUCUGUGUAUCCCACCCAGCCAGUGACAUCAGUCGGCAUGCCAG
Mauremys mutica (yellowpond turtle) is the source of this 317-nucleotide long non-coding RNA. RefSeq lists it as uncharacterized. The transcript is spliced from 3 exons. The record is from RefSeq and is a predicted model, not a curated record. NCBI's taxonomy places the organism in Eukaryota, Metazoa, Chordata, Testudines, Geoemydidae.